GUGCUCUCUUCAGCAGCACAUAUACUAAAAUUGGAACGGUACAGAGAAGAUUAGCAUGGCCCCUGAGUGAGGAUGACAUGCAAAUUCGUGAAGCAAUCCAUAUUUUU
Molecule: small nuclear RNA, 107 nt
Organism: Catagonus wagneri (Chacoan peccary)
Lineage: Eukaryota; Metazoa; Chordata; Mammalia; Artiodactyla; Tayassuidae
Source: Ensembl